RNAcentral lists this ribosomal RNA (157 nucleotides) under Metarhizium anisopliae. RNAcentral's name for it is "5.8S ribosomal RNA". It matches the Rfam family "5.8S ribosomal RNA". Rfam says of the family: 5.8S ribosomal RNA (5.8S rRNA) is a component of the large subunit of the eukaryotic ribosome. RNAcentral also lists the same sequence under 1 other name. The record is from RNAcentral. Lineage: Eukaryota; Fungi; Ascomycota; Sordariomycetes; Hypocreales; Clavicipitaceae.
ACUUUCAACAACGGAUCUCUUGGUUCUGGCAUCGAUGAAGAACGCAGCGAAAUGCGAUAAGUAAUGUGAAUUGCAGAAUUCAGUGAAUCAUCGAAUCUUUGAACGCACAUUGCGCCCGUCAGUAUUCUGGCGGGCAUGCCUGUUCGAGCGUCAUUAC